Molecule: small RNA, 290 nt
Filed under: uncultured Collinsella sp.
Lineage: Bacteria; Bacillati; Actinomycetota; Coriobacteriia; Coriobacteriales; Coriobacteriaceae
Description: 5' ureB small RNA
Rfam family: 5' ureB small RNA
Source: RNAcentral
CGAUCUGCUGCGGGCAGAUGAAGUGGAUGUGCGUGUCCAGGCCGCCUGCGGUAAGGAUGAGCCCCUCGCCGGCCAGGGCUUCGGUGCCCGCGCCAACGGUCAUGCCCGGGGUUACUCCGUCCAUGAUGUCGGGGUUGCCGGCAUGGCCGAUGCCGACGAUGUAGCCGCCCUUAAUGCCGAUGUCGGCCUUGUAGAUACCCGUGUAGUCGAGCACAAGCGCGUUGGUGAUUACCAAGUCCAGGUCGCCGUCGGCGCUGGUGGUGGUGACGGACUGGCCCAUGCCGUCGCGC